This 468-nucleotide ribosomal RNA is filed under the name uncultured bacterium. Its description in RNAcentral is "partial 16S ribosomal RNA". It matches the Rfam family "Bacterial small subunit ribosomal RNA", at positions 28 to 507 of the family's 1533-position model. The record is from RNAcentral.
GACGAACGCUGGCGGCGUGCUUAACACAUGCAAGUCGAACGGAAAGGCCCUGCUUUUGUGGGGUGCUCGAGUGGCGAACGGGUGAGUAACACGUGAGUAACCUGCCCUUGACUUUGGGAUAACUUCAGGAAACUGGGGCUAAUACCGGAUAGGAGCUCCUGCUGCAUGGUGGGGGCUGGAAAGUUUCGGCGGUUGGGGAUGGACUCGCGGCUUAUCAGCUUGUUGGUGGGGUAGUGGCUUACCAAGGCUUUGACGGGUAGCCGGCCUGAGAGGGUGACCGGCCACAUUGGGACUGGGAUACGGCCCAGACUCCUACGGGAGGCAGCAGUGGGGAAUAUUGCACAAUGGGCGGAAGCCUGAUGCAGCAACGCCGCGUGCGGGAUGACGGCCUUCGGGUUGUAAGCCGCUUUCGCCUGUGACGAAGCGUGAGUGACGGUAAUGGGUAAAGAAGCACCGGCUAACUACGUG